Maylandia zebra (zebra mbuna) is the source of this 631-nucleotide non-coding RNA. The record is from RefSeq and is a predicted model, not a curated record. NCBI's taxonomy places the organism in Eukaryota, Metazoa, Chordata, Actinopteri, Cichliformes, Cichlidae.
UGGUCGGCUCUGGUCUUCAUCUUACUGUCAUCAGAUCUGGAUGAGUUCAACCUGAAGAAAUACUCCCGUUCAGAGAAGGCAUUUUUGAAGCUGCUGCCAGUGGUCAAAGCCUCCAAGAAAGUGCUGCUGAGAGAUUGUAAACUCUCAAAAAGAAGCUUUGAAGCUUUGUCUGAAAUUCUCAGCUCCCCAUCCAAUCAUCUGAGAGAGCUGGACCUGAGCUCGAACAAACUGCAGGAUUCAGAAUUGGAUUUGCUGUGUGUUGGACUAAAGAGUCCUGACUGUAAACUUGAAACUCUCAGAUUGGAGCGCUGUGAUUUGUCAGAGAUCAGCUGUGAUUAUCUGGAAGCAGUGCUGAAGCUCAACCCUUCGUAUCCCAGAGAGGUGGACCUGAGCUCUCACAAGCUUCAGGAUUCAGGAGUGAAGCAGCUGUGUGUUCUUCUGGAGAAUCCACAACAUCAAAUUGAAACUCUGAGGUCAGUCUCCACGUUUUAGUUGUGCUGACACUGUCGAUCUGUGGAACUAAAACCUUUAUACAGGAAGUCUGGUUCAGCUCUUUGUAGACCUUCUAAUCUCUGAUGCUCUGAGUCUUACUCAGUAGGUGAUGCAGAGUUGUGAAGCCGAUGUGGGUGAG